CCUACGGGAGGCAGCAGUGGGGAAUAUUGGACAAUGGGGGCAACCCUGAUCCAGCCAUGCCGCGUGUGUGAAGAAGGCCCUCGGGUUGUAAAGCACUUUCAGUGAGUAAGAACGCCUGGUGGUUAAUACCCAUCAGGAAAGACAUCACUCACAGAAGAAGCACCGGCUAACUCCGUGCCAGCAGCCGCGGUAAUACGGAGGGUGCGAGCGUUAAUCGGAAUUACUGGGCGUAAAGCGCGCGUAGGUGGCUUGAUAAGCCGGUUGUGAAAGCCCCGGGCUCAACCUGGGAACGGCAUCCGGAACUGUCAAGCUAGAGUGCAGGAGAGGAAGGUAGAAUUCCCGGUGUAGCGGUGAAAUGCGUAGAGAUCGGGAGGAAUACCAGUGGCGAAGGCGGCCUUCUGGACUGACACUGACACUGAGGUGCGAAAGCGUGGGUAGCAAACAGGAUUAGAUACCCUUGUAGUC
Molecule: ribosomal RNA, 465 nt
Filed under: Vreelandella stevensii
Lineage: Bacteria; Pseudomonadati; Pseudomonadota; Gammaproteobacteria; Oceanospirillales; Halomonadaceae
Description: partial 16S ribosomal RNA
Rfam family: Bacterial small subunit ribosomal RNA
Source: RNAcentral